CCGAGUUCAUGCCCUUACGGGUAGAUCUCCCACCCUGUGUUAUUAUUACCUUUGUUGCUUUGGCGGGCCGUCAGAUUUCGGUCAGGCUACCGGCUCCGGCUGGUAAGCGCCCGCCAGAGGACCCCAAACUCUGAAUAUUAGUGUCGUCUGAGUACUAUAUAAUAGUUA
This 168-nucleotide unclassified non-coding RNA is filed under the name uncultured Helotiales. RNAcentral's name for it is "sequence contains ITS1". The record is from RNAcentral. Lineage: Eukaryota; Fungi; Ascomycota; Leotiomycetes; Helotiales.